UGGGGGAUAUUGCACAAUGGGCGAAAGCCUGAUGCAGCGACGCCGCGUGGGGGAUGAAGGCCUUCGGGUUGUAAACUUCUUUUGCUCUGAACAAGGCAUGCCUUUGGGGUGUGUUGAGUGUAGGGGUUGAUUAGCGCCGGCUAACUACGUGCCAGCAGCCGCGGUAAUACGUAGGGCGCGAGCGUUGUCCGGAAUUAUUGGGCGUAAAGGGCUUGUAGGUGGCUGGUUGCGUCUGUCGUGAAAGCUCAUGGCUUAACUGUGGGUUUGCGGUGGGUACGGGCUGGCUUGGGUGCAGUAGGGGGGGCUGGAAUUCCUGGUGUAGCGGGGGAAUGCGCAGAUAUCAGGAGGAAUCCCGGUGGCGAGGGCGGGUCUCUGGGCUGUUACUGACGCUGAGGAGCAAAAGCGUGGGGAGCGAACAGG
RNAcentral lists this ribosomal RNA (420 nucleotides) under Fusobacteriota bacterium. RNAcentral's name for it is "Fusobacteria bacterium partial 16S ribosomal RNA". It matches the Rfam family "Bacterial small subunit ribosomal RNA", at positions 355 to 776 of the family's 1533-position model. The record is from RNAcentral. Lineage: Bacteria; Fusobacteriati; Fusobacteriota.